GACGUAGGGCGCGAGCGUUGUCCGGAUUUAUUGGGCGUAAAGAGCUCGUAGGCGGCUUGUCGCGUCGUCCGUGAAAACCCACAGCUCAACUGUGGGCUUGCGGUCGAUACGGGCAGGCUAGAGUUCGGUAGGGGAGACUGGAAUUCCUGGUGUAGCGGUGAAAUGCGCAGAUAUCAGGAAGAACACCAAUGGCGAAGGCAGCUCUCUGGGACGGUACUGACGCUGAGACGCGAAAGCGUGGGGAGCGAACAGG
Molecule: ribosomal RNA, 253 nt
Filed under: uncultured bacterium
Lineage: Bacteria
Description: partial 16S ribosomal RNA
Rfam family: Bacterial small subunit ribosomal RNA
Source: RNAcentral